This 266-nucleotide long non-coding RNA is filed under the name Capsicum annuum. Its description in RNAcentral is "long non-coding RNA (CANN_LNC019457)". The record is from RNAcentral. Lineage: Eukaryota; Viridiplantae; Streptophyta; Magnoliopsida; Solanales; Solanaceae.
GAAGAUGCCCCUCCUUUUAACCAACCUAUUGCUCAUACUUCUUCUCUUCCUACUGAUCAACCUACUGCUCAUGUCUCUUCUCCUAUAGCUGCUACUCCUAGUAGUUAUACUGCUGCUCCUAGUAGUUCUAUUGCUGCUCCUACUAAUUCUACUGCUGCACCUUUUGAAUCUGUUGUAGAUUCAGAUGUAGAAUCUAUUGAUGGAGGUAUAGAGAUUGGGAGUGAUGUGGAUGAAUAUGUGGAUGAAGAGUUAAGAGGUUUUAGGGA